RNAcentral lists this long non-coding RNA (1719 nucleotides) under Volvox carteri. RNAcentral's name for it is "long non-coding RNA (VCAR_LNC004352)". Lineage: Eukaryota; Viridiplantae; Chlorophyta; Chlorophyceae; Chlamydomonadales; Volvocaceae. The record is from RNAcentral.
UUCUUCCCCUAAAGGGGAACUUUAGUUCAUCCCCUUUAGGGGAACUAAAGGGGAAGAAGGCUUUGGGGUUCUUCCCCGAAGGGGAACCCCCUUCGUCUCCCUCCCCUUUAGGGGAAGAAGGGGAACACCCCUACGUCUUCGUCCCCUUUAGUUCCCCUAAAGGGGAUGAACUAAAGGGGAAGAAGUCCCCUAAAGGGGGAAGAAGGGGGUUCCCCUUUAGUUCCCCUAAAGGGGAAGAAGAAGAAGAACUAAAGGGGAUGGAAAACAAAGUCCCUACUUGUUCUUUAUUUUAAUGAUGACAACCCUUUGGUUUUCUGUCCCCUUUGUUCCCCUUUAGGGGAUGGGGAACAAGUUUGGUGGUCCCCCUUUGGGUUCCCCAAAGGGGAUAACCAAAGGGGAACCCAAAGGGGACAACCAAACUCUUAGAGCCCUUCCCUUCCCCUAAAGGGGAAGACAANCCUUCGGGGUUAGACUAAGUUUGUUGUCUGUCCCCUUUAGUGCUCGUCCCCUAAAGGGGAACCGAAGGGGUUCCCCUUUAGGGGAAGACUUUGGGGUUCUUCCCCUAAAGGGGAACUUUAGUGUUCUUCCCCUUCGGGGAUGACUUUGGUUCAUCCCCUUUAGUUCUUCCCCUAAAGGGGAACUUUAGGGGGAUGAACUAAACGGGACAACCCUAAAGGGGACAACCCUAAAGGGGACGAUGUUUUCCCCUUCGGGGAGACGAAGGGGAUAAACCAAUUUUGGAAACCCUUUACGGGGGGAUGAACUAAAGGGGAUGCCCUUUCGUAAUCGUCCCCCUUUGGCGCUCAAGAAGGGAAGUCUUCCCCUAAAGGGGAACCCCUUUGGUUCUUUCGGGGUUGUCCCUAAAGGGAAUGUAUUCCCCUUCGGUUACCCUUUAGGGGAUGAGCUCUUCCCCUUUAGGGGAACUAACGGGGAAGAAGGGGGAAGGUCACCUUCGUCCCCCUUCGGGGAAGGUAACCCUAGUGGUUCCCCUAAAGGGGAAGACAAGGAAAGGGCGAUGCCCCUAGGGUCACUUAACGCCACUAUGUACGAAAUCGGAUGUGGAACCAUGAAGGAAGGUUCAAGAGCACUUGAACCAUCCUACGUAGUUAGCGAACGAAUUUGAGGGGGCCUAGCUCGAAUAAAGGUUAGCCCUUUAGGCCACGACGUUUGUGUAACUAUAUUUAACCGGCCUAUAACUAGAUCAUACAACAUACCUUUACUACAUAAUGUAAGCUACUCGGUAUUAUAUCUGUGAGAAGUGCUACAAGAUCGAAGCCAUAAGCAACUCACAACGUCAUAUAGCGAAAUAACAUGUAACGUACGUAAGUGCUAGAGUAAAACUACCAAAGCCAACUUAGGUGAUACUCACCGUGAGCUACUUAUCUACGUUUUUAAAUAAAAAAAUUUAAAGUAAAAACAAAAAUAAAAUGUUUUAUAUAUACGCCACACAUGUGUGGCGUAAGGUAUUUUACGUAGUUAAACGAAAGUAAGAAAUAUUGAAUUCGCUAUCUAGUAGCAAGCCUAGCUAGCGAACUACAUACAAUGUGGCCCUAUUAUAUACUUAGUUGUAGCUUAAGUAGCUGUACUGUGUUAAGAGGUCCGUUGGUACAACUUGGUCUUGUGGUAAUUGGAGCUUGGUUGUCUUCUUCNGGGGAACUAAACGAACACUUGUGAGGGACCUUUGGCCCUCACAAAUGUCCCUGGCCGUUGCCGUGAUGC